RNAcentral lists this ribosomal RNA (497 nucleotides) under uncultured bacterium. Its description in RNAcentral is "partial 16S ribosomal RNA". It matches the Rfam family "Bacterial small subunit ribosomal RNA", at positions 28 to 507 of the family's 1533-position model. The record is from RNAcentral.
GAUGAACGCUGGCGGCGUGCCUAAUACAUGCAAGUCGAGCGAACGGACGAGAAGCUUGCUUCUCUGAUGUUAGCGGCGGACGGGUGAGUAACACGUGGAUAACCUACCUAUAAGACUGGGAUAACUUCGGGAAACCGGAGCUAAUACCGGAUGAUAUUUUGAACCGCAUGGUUCAAAAGUGAAAGACGGUCUUGCUGUCACUUAUAGAUGGAUCCGCGCUGCAUUAGCUAGUUGGUAAGGUAACGGCUUACCAAGGCAACGAUGCAUAGCCGACCUGAGAGGGUGAUCGGACAGACUGGAACUGAGACACGGUCCAGACUCCUACGGGAGGCAGCAGUAGGGAAUCUUCCGCAAUGGGCGAAAGCCUGACGGAGCAACGCCGCGUGAGUGAUGAAGGUCUUCGGAUCGUAAAACUCUGUUAUUAGGGAAGAACAUAUGUGUAAGUAACUGUGCACAUCUUGACGGUACCUAAUCAGAAAGCCACGGCUAACUACGUG